GGGAUCCCUGAGGAUGGGAGCCAGUGCACUGAGAUCUCUCGCCUCCGAGGCUAGGGUCCUGUGGUCCGCCCGAGGGCCGCAACCCCCGCCCUUUCAUGUGCCUGCCUCGCCCCCGGCUGCGCCGAUGCUCCUGCUGCUGCUGCUGCUUACCGCGCCGGACGCCGGGGCUGCGGGACAGGGCGGCACUGGCCGGCUACUGGGACGCCGGCGCCUAGGGACACCGCAGCAUGAGGCAGAGAUCUGAGUUUCUGACUUACAUCAUUCUCCUUUUCGCUGAAGAAAUUCUUUUAACAUUUCUUGUGAGGUAGAGAAACAGGAACUAAAGAGUUUUAACUGGGCACCGCUAUAGCAGUGGCUGUUGAUCAUCGUCUCCUGGCUGGAACCAGGGAAUCCUGUCGUUCAGGGAGGAGCAACGCAGCAGCAGGCAUGCCUUCUCAGCCCCAGCUGACUCACUCUGGGGUGGAUGGAUGUAUUUACUUACUUAUUUAUUAUUUGGUUCUUGCUCUGUCGCCCAGGCUGGAGUACAGUGAUGCAAUCUCGGCUCACUGCAGCCUGGACCUCCCGGGCUCAAGCGAUCCCACCUCAGCCUCCCAAGUAGCUGGGACUUCAGGCACAUGCCACUACGCCAGCUAAUUUUUUAAACGUUUUGUAGAGACAGGCUCUCGCCCUGUUGCCCAGGCUGGUCUUGAACUCCUGGCCUCAAGCCGUCUGCCCACCUUGGCCUCCCAAAGUGCUGGGAUUACAGGUGUGAGUUACCACACUCAGCCCACUCGGUUUUGAGUGGCCAUUUGCUUUGACUCAGCAAACACUUCUGAUGGUAACAAAGCACCAACUGAGUGGCUGGUUUCAAUCCUACUCUUGCACCCAACACCGCAACAUUUUAUCUACCUGGAGCAAACGCUCUGGGGUCCUGAGGAGCUGGCCACACUGCCCAUUUUGCUGGUGGGACAGUGGGAGGCCCUGCCCUCCUCCCAUCCCACACCUCUUAGGCAAGAGCUGUGCCCAGGAAAUGUCACCUGUAACUGGUCUGCACAGACCCUGUCUUCCAAAAGGGUGCUGUGCCUCCACCAGACCCCACGGGCAGUACAUUGGUCAAGCACAUGCAAGACACGCCAAGGCCAAGGCCUGACUGAUUGGACAGUAAAGACACAAUGAGCCCCUCUCGUUCGAAGCUGAUUACUCACAGAGUGAAAAUAAGAGAAGCCUGAGGUGGCAGCUCCCUCCCGUCCUGGUGCCACACACUAAAAAGGACAGCACCGAAACAAAAGGGGUCAGAGAGCACGCGCUGAGGGACACCCACUGCGGAGCAGCCCCUGGAGACUGCGCCGGGUGGCAUCCUCAUCUGUGGCUCUGUUGUGGGGGCCAGGGGCAGGCAGCCUCCCCCUCACCAGGGCCAGCGAGGCAGGCAGUGAGGAGCAGUCUCGGGAGACAGAGGGAAUGAGAGGUGGCCUGGGUGCAGCCUGAUGUUCUGGGAGGAGCAGGCUUAGGUCAGCUGCUGUGCGCACCUCUGCGUGGCCUGUGGGGAUCCUGCAAUGGCUCAGGGCCCCACGGCAGAGCUGUCUCUCUGUCCACACAACGGACACACAACCUGACACACGGAAACUCACAGAGACACCAGAGAGGCACAUGUGACACUCAAAGACAGACCCACACAAAAGCCACGCAGGAAAGCCUUUUGCCACACGUGCACACACACAUACACACAGGUGCCCAUCCCUUCAAACCUUGGUGUUUGCCCAGACACACCUGUGUCAGAGACAGGGGACCUGCAGCUCCCCAACACACACCAGUCACCCCACACUAACCCAAGGUGUCACCAGCCAGCCUGGAGGACUUGGGAGGCCAAAUGGAGGUGGACAGUGGCCGCAGAGCAAAGGCCUUCGGUGGAUAGCACCCGACGUGAAGAGCCAUGGCGCCCACCGUGUCCACACACACAGGGGACACGCACGUCUGUGCACCAGCUCCCCCAUUCCUACACACGCAUCACCCAUCCCUGGGGCUCUGGAGGAUGAGGCCCCUCCUUCCAGACCAGGGCCUCCCUGAAGACCCAGAGGUGGUCCAGGAGUCCCCAUGCCUGAGUGACCCACUGCUCAUGUCCAUGAAAAAGAAAAGGAACUGUGUGUGUGUGUGUGUUUGUCAGCACAAUGGAAGUUUAUUUUAUAUAUAUAUAUACUUUAAGUUCUGGGGUACAUGUGCAGAACGUGCAGGUUUGUUACAUAGGUAUACACGUGCCAUGGUGGUUUGCUGCGUCCAUGAACCCAUCAUCUACAUUACAUAUUUCUCCUAAU
Molecule: long non-coding RNA, 2288 nt
Filed under: Macaca mulatta (Rhesus monkey)
Lineage: Eukaryota; Metazoa; Chordata; Mammalia; Primates; Cercopithecidae
Description: lncRNA (ENSMMUG00000062236.1)
Source: RNAcentral